AGGUGUCAUUUCUUGGAAAGACUUUAGGGUGGUUUUUUUUCCUCCUGUGCCCUGCUGCCCCCAUCUGCUUCUCAGCAUCUGCCCUUCCCAUUGAUUCCACUGAAUUGUACCAGGACACAGAACAUCUGAGCAGCACACCCCUGGCAUGGAUAACCAGGACCACCACUGCUUCCCAGCUCUGCAUUCCUCCAGCACACAGCCAGAGGAGGAGGAGGCUGUAACUUCCAACGCCCUUACAGCCCUUCCGAAUCCCACCCAUGGACACCAUCCCCACCAGGGGACAGAAAAGCAGCUGAGGCCUCAGGACAGGCACACAGAAAGGACAGAAUAAGGAUGUCAGCUCUGCCCUGGUGACCUGGACACUGCUGUCCACAGCUAGGACAUCGAGUGUAAUUUAUGUGCCAGCCAGGAUCAGGAGAAGCUGAUCAGCAGAGGGAGGUCCCACUGGUGUCUGCCAGACCGUUUGCCUUCAGGAACUGGAAGCAAGAUGGGAUCAAAGACUUGCAUCUGCUCUUCAGCCGACGCAGGGCUGGCUAAUAGAUGGGAAGAAUGUGAAUAAUUUUUGUCACGUGGAGGAGGAAGAGGGAGCAGAGACUGUGGCUGCCCGCUGAGCUGAAAACUGAUGCUCACGUCUUGUUGACUGAUACGGAGAGGAUGCCAACACAGAUUUCUUUUUGAGACAGGCUGGGGUUGCCACCAGGACAAAGGUUUCCCUCAAAGGUAUUUACAUGUUUGGGAACACAGGCUGCAAGGUCUGCUCUUGCAAAGACUUGUGCACAUCUUUGGCUUGAGACACCUGCACUGCUCCUUCAUGGCAAGUGAAAUAGUUUCAAGCUGGAAGUUAACCUACACCUCCUGCCUGGCUUUUUUGUUUUGUUUUGCUUUCUGGUGGACGUGUUUCCCUUGUAAAUAAAGAGCCAAAGAAAAG
This is a long non-coding RNA of Calypte anna (Anna's hummingbird), 928 nucleotides long. RefSeq lists it as uncharacterized. The record is from RefSeq and is a predicted model, not a curated record. The transcript is spliced from 4 exons. Lineage: Eukaryota; Metazoa; Chordata; Aves; Apodiformes; Trochilidae.